AACGAACGCCGGCGGCAGGCCUAACACAUGCAAGUCGAACGCCCCGCAAGGGGAGUGGCAGACGGGUGAGUAACACGUGGGAACAUGCCCUUCGGUUCGGAAUAACUCAGGGAAACUUGAGCUAAUACCGGAUACGUCCGAGAGGAGAAAGAUUUAUCGCCGAAGGAUUGGCCCGCGUCUGAUUAGCUUGUUGGUGAGGUAACGGCUCACCAAGGCGACGAUCAGUAGCUGGUCUGAGAGGAUGAUCAGCCACACUGGGACUGAGACACGGCCCAGACUCCUACGGGAGGCAGCAGUGGGGAAUAUUGGACAAUGGGCGCAAGCCUGAUCCAGCCAUGCCGCGUGAGUGAUGACGGCCCUAGGGUUGUAAAGCUCUUUUGCCUGGGAAGAUAAUGACGGUACCAGGAGAAUAAGCCCCGGCUAACUUCGUGCCAGCAGCCGCAGUAA
This 447-nucleotide ribosomal RNA is filed under the name uncultured bacterium. Its description in RNAcentral is "partial 16S ribosomal RNA". It matches the Rfam family "Bacterial small subunit ribosomal RNA", at positions 29 to 523 of the family's 1533-position model. The record is from RNAcentral.